Molecule: non-coding RNA, 652 nt
Organism: Lactuca sativa (garden lettuce)
Lineage: Eukaryota; Viridiplantae; Streptophyta; Magnoliopsida; Asterales; Asteraceae
Source: RefSeq, a predicted model, not a curated record
UUUUUUGAGAAAGCUUCUAUAAAACCGCAUUAAAAGCCAUUUAUUAGUGCAUUUACUUCAAAAGCGCAUUAUUAAACAUUCAGUUCCCUAUUCCCUCCUAAUAUUUGGUUCUUGGCGGUGCUUACUUUCAAUUUUUUCAUUUCCAGCGCCAUGCAUUUCCUACCAAUAUCUAGUUCUUCAUCCCUCACCCAAACCGUAGAUGACACAACAGAUGUCGUCGACUUCCACCUCCUGCUUCGACCCUUCCCCUGUAUGCUUUCUUCUCUAGCCAGUGUAUUACCCCGACAAUCUCAUCGAUUUCUACCCACCCGCAGUAAGGUAGCCUCCACGCCGGCACAACAACCCCUUCGAACGGUGUAAUUUCAUCAAGUGUAAAAUUUCUGAUUUUAAGCGGUUUAAAGAAUGUUGGUGAAUCUUCUAUCAAUUUCCAUCAAUUCGAAGAAUACUAUGGAACUUAUAGGAGGGAAUGAGGGUGGCGGUGAUGACGACACGUCGUAUUAGUUUUAUCUCUUAUUAGAGAUUAUAGUACAACAAAAAUUUAUAAGAAUUUUGUUAUUUAUUUUGGUGUAUGUAUGGUAUUAUAUAACUUGAAUGUUAUGUAAUCGUUUUUCUGCAUUUAAGGUAUCAGUUUUUCUGCAUUUAACGUUAUUAU